Molecule: long non-coding RNA, 26240 nt
Organism: Patella vulgata (common limpet)
Lineage: Eukaryota; Metazoa; Mollusca; Gastropoda; Patellidae
Exons: 2
Source: RefSeq, a predicted model, not a curated record
UUAUUGUUUUCUUGUCUUUCGUUCUUACAUGUAGCGUAAGUACCACAUCGUUUCAGAAAAGCCCCCCAAAUUCUCUGACUUUUUCAGUUCUGUAUCUCGAUGUUAAACCUUCUCUGGGAAUUUUUGUACUUUAAUUGUACUCCCACGCUGUAUGUUUUGUUCUGUUUGUGUUUUGUUUAACAGUUGUCGUGUGUUAACCUUAAGACAUGGUAUACUUUUUAAAGCUUUUUUCAUGAUAUAUAUUUUAAUGAAUUGGUGUGUUCUAAUAUAUUACCAAAGAAACUCUGAAAAAAGAACGCGACACGGCAGUAAUAAAAUGUCACAAAAAUCAGUUCAAUAUCAAUUGUAACAGAAUAUAUUAGGGAGUGGAUUAGAACUUUGAGUGACCUUGGCAUGUGUUUGGUCAGGCUGACCGUCGUCCAGUCUCAGUUUACCUCUAAUCACACUAGUAACAAUACCCAAAGGACAUCAGAUUUUUACGUCAAGCGAAAUUGAACACCUCUUCUGAACGAAAGGUGCCUCAAACUUGAUAUGAUAUUUUACACCCAAUCCACACUUAGAUAGAGAGUUGGACACACGAGCACCGAAGGUCACCCGUGUUAAGGCCAUAGAUUAAGGUUUAUAAUUAGGAGUUUAAUCCCUGUAAACCAUAUUUUGUCUAGAAAGCUUAUCACGUCAAAAUUAGUUAGCGUUAGUUGACGAGAACGAACUGGUUUAUCUGAUAUGAUGUCGACCCGUCUCUCAAGCUUAUAUAUAAAGUAGACUGAAAUAUAAAAAAAAUGUUUUAAAAAGCCUAUUGCCACGACUUAUUGAUGAGGGUGCCAAGUCCGAGGGGACAUGUGUAAGGCAAAUGUUGGAAGGCUGGAUUUGUUUUACGCGAAAUUUUAAGAAUCAAUUGCUCUUGUCGCGUAGGACCUUUAAAUCUGGUGGUAAAUAUUCAGAUGUGUUGAAAUGAAAGUGAUUGGUCCCAUAGGGAGGCAAAUAUUGGUUUCUCAAACAGAAUAAAUAUCAACACAUAGUAAACAUCUCCUCAAAAAAUAAAACAUAGUUCUUUGUAUUUCCAAUUGGACAUGAUUAUUUCAAAAAGAAGAAAGGGAGUUACGUCCCCUCAUUUGACUGUUCUCAGAGAUUUACCCCACCAAGACCAUGUUCAAAUAUUGAAAUUCUUAAAUACCUAUUUUAUUUUUGGUUCACAAAUGGAAAUGUUUUGAUAUUUCUUGAAGAUUUAAUGAAUAUGGUGUUGAUUAUAAACAUGUUGAUAGGUGCCGUUUUAUUUUUUGCUAUCUUGAAUAAACAAUAUUUUAUGCUGAUAAGAAUCACGCGAGGUACAUACAUUGUCAAUAAAUUCUAAACAAUCAAAUGGAAGCCAAUGGUUUAUAUUAAUUCACCUCCCUAAUGGUAGUCAUAGUGCAAAAUAUAAAAUACACACUUCAAAUAGCAGUAGGACACUUAUUAUCUAGUUAAUCAAGAAAAUUAGUAAACUUUCAAAUUUAACGCCUUUUCGUCGCAUAACACGCCUGGUUUGUACAAUAUUUUUGAAAAUGUUAGAGGCGAUUUGUUUAUGAAGUUCAUCAUAAAAAUUCUAAGAUGCUGUGUAGUUUAAUUACUUAUAAUUUACCCAACCGAAGCUACUAUAAUUAAAAUUCAAAUAGUAUAUUACAGUGGUUGUUUUAGAAUGGUUUAACGCGUGCACUUCAGAUCAGAAGGUAUAUCCUUGAGUCAAAUGGCGGGGGUUUCGAUUCCCCGCUUGUAUAUGACAUGAAGUAGGGUCGUGGACUUCCUACGAGUUCUUCGGUUUCCUAAAACUGCUAAAGACCCCUACACACAAGCGAAUUAUUGAAAUAAAAUUGAAUCAUGUUUUUGGUCCCGAAAUAAUCUGGUUUGUGUCAAAUGAACGCUAAACCCUAUUUCUCUACCCCCUCCCUUUCUCACCUUUUUAUUGCAUAUAUUAACAAGGCAUUUCAUCUUCUCAACACAAUAAGUAUCUAUAUUAAUAAGGUUAGUCAUGGCCACGUGUCACAGAUCAAUAUUAAAGCUACUGAAACGAGACCGUCACGGUUUACAUUGAUAAAAAUUAUAAGAUUUGAAAUCGUAUUUUUUGUACCAUCUGUAAACAUUUUCGCUGAUGUAUCGAUUUUUAUUCUCAAUCGAUAUCAGUAAAAUAAUCGCAGUGUAGCGAAACUAUACGGAGAUUUAUUUCAAUGCACCGUUCACAACUAAAAUCAAAUCAACGAUUGAAAAAAGUGACUUGUCUGAAAACCACAAAUUACGUGUGAAGCCCUAAUCGAAUUUCGUUGAAUUAAUGAAUUGAUUGCUUCAUUUAAUAUUCACUAUAGACUAUAAUUAUCAAUAAAUUAAACGAGUACUGUCAUUGAACCAUGAGAAAUUUAAAAACUAAAUGCCACAAAGAUAAAUACAAGUUUCCAGGAAUCAACAAAUUAUUCUGAUGUAAUUAUGAAUGUUGAUUGUAUGACUUUUUCCACGCGUCAUUGAUUCGAAUAAAAUUGAAAAGACGCCAUUUUCUUGUAAUUACCAAUAUUACCGAAACACACAAUAAAGAAAAUUUCAUAAUUAAUACGUUCUCCGCCUUGCUUCAAUGACAAUUUGAUUCCGAGUAUCUGUAAAUAAUAAUUAAUAUUUAAUAACAUUAAUCAAAGUAAUGAAUUACGACUUUAAAUCUGCUUUACGGAAACCACUUGUUACGAUUUAUUGUCGAUAUAACAACGCAACACAUUUCAAGUGUAAGCAUCAAUAUGCAAUUUAAAUAGUUUGCACGUUCGUUGCAUGUUGCUCAUUUUGUAUCCCACAGAUUAACUGAACCCAGCAUCCAGUGUCUGUGGGUACAGAGCCAAUACUUAUUAUCUUGUCUGUCUAUGGUUUUGAUGUUUAUGGCCUGAUGAAUAAUUAUAAAAAUUAGAAUAUAAUUUUCCGAAAAUCAUUGCCAUUCAGUGAUUAUAUAUAAUGUCGGACGUUGUUCAAAGAGACCGACUUGCAUAAUGUUACUUCGCUUUAAAUUAUUCACUGAAUUAUCAGAUGAUUUUUCCAUUUUCUCAAAUUACCAUUAGUUAUCAGAGGUCUUAUUCAACUUGAUUGACUAAGAUUAUCUUAGCGUGCUCUAUCUUUCCUACCAAAUUGUUACAAAGCCUGCUAGAAACUAUUGUCAGACUUUGCCGAACUCUAUACGGUUUAUGUACUUGACAGACCAUCAUGAUGUCCUAUUGUAUGGCGCUCUUACAAUUUCCGUUCCUUUGAGUUUAGUGACGUAAUAGUCGCCGAACACGACAAGCGUGCGCGUGAGGUACGAUCGAGACAAUACUUUAUUAAACGCUUGAUUUCGACUCGUGUGGUCAAAUGACCCAUUGCAUCUCUUAAACCAAUUACUCGCCUUUGAUCCCUAAAGAACAAGAUAUUAGCUAAUCAGAACCAUUUUAAUCAAAAGCUUUUCGGUAACAAUAUAAAGUAUAAAGUUGCAUCGAUUCGACGAUGAUGUGUAGACUAACUAGGCAUAAAUUGUACCACUUUUGUUAAAAAUCGUUUACCAUUCCCCAUAAAAGAGAUUUGAUAAAAAAAAAAUGCUUGAUAACCCUGGAAUUCAAGGAUAACAAGUAUGUCUAAAGCAUGGGGUACGUCAAGGUGACGUCAACAUACCAACUCUAUUCAGUUUGUAUAUUAACGUUAUUUUAUCGCUUUUGAUACUAACACGCGAAUUCAUUGUUUUCAGUGUUCCAAGUUUUUAAUAACAAGAUUUAAAACUUGCAACACGGAGCACUUCAAUUGUCCGACCCUGACAUAAUGCAUACCAAUAAACACAGUGAACACGGCAUUGAAUUCUAACACCAAUCUCAUUUUCAUGUUAGUAACACUGGCAGAGAACAAUUUAACUGUACAAUAGCUGACGGCAUAGAUUGAGUUGAACAACUCGGCUUGCUGCUUUUUUCUUUAUAUGGAUCAAACGACUUUCAUUAAACCCCUAAAAAAUAAGGACUUGAGUGCAGAGUGAGUUGGGUUUUUUGUUGAUAUUUCGACCUUGUAUGAUAACUAAAAGCUGAAAAUAGGAUAAUGAUUAGCAUUGCGGUGUUUUCUUGUCGCUUUCUAUUUUUCAAGCGGUUUUUAACAAUACUAGGCCGCAUAUGUCGAGUAGAGUUUGAGCUGCUUAUACCCUUAACUGAUAGUGAAAACGGAGUCUUUAUUUGUUCCGUAACAGGGGUCAUUCAGCUUGUAGCUGGUUUUAUUCAUCUCUUGUCAGAUAACUGGUUGAUAAAACGUUUAUUAAUUCCCAGGUUUCUCGCAUCGUCAUUAAGCGCACCACUACGUUUUAUAGGGUUUUAUUUGAUGUGUAAUCCGGUGAUUUCCGCAUCACGGGCUAUGAAAUAAUAACUGUUUUAAAUUUUUGGCUACAAGAUUUUUUUUUAUAUUAUAUGUAAGUGCUACUUUCACGUGGCCAAAACCUGUUAAUUAUACAUCCAAACAUACAAUAUCUAACCAACCAUAUCAGUCAGUGCUAAAUUCAAGAAAUAGAAAAGUACAACAAAACUGCUUAACUAUAGGAGAACUCCUCACAUUAUGAUUAUUAUUUAUUAGUAUGCACAUUUUUAUAGCGCAUAUCUUCCACGAUUAAAUAAAAUACACAGGUAAAAUCAAAAAUGUAAAAUACAAAAGAGACAUCUAGAAGUACGGUUAUAUAAUUAUGUGCUUUAGAAUGAUGGCGAAAUGUACCGAAAGUUGAUCUAAGAUUUAUACGGUAUAUUAUUGGAAUUUGAAGUAGAGUACAUUGAUGUUAAUUAUCAAACAGCCACAACUGUCACGGUCUAUUCUAAUAUUCAACUAUGGUUACAUCGGUCUGAACUACAUUCUAGCUUAUCUCGGGUAUAUUUCCUUUUAAUAUCAUUAUGUUCAACUCUUGUUCCAAGGAGGAAACUUUGAAAUUCAGAGUCACGCAACGUUGUCGUCGAACGUUGUAAAAGCUCUAAAGGUCAAUGUUUUAUCUAACUUACCGGAAUGUUCGGCUAAUCCAGAGAAAAACCGCUGUUGAUUUUUCGCAGACAUACAUACCAUGCUUACCCAAACCAUGUUGAUACACUAGGGCCGGCGGAAGCAAUUCUUGGUUGUUUGGGGGGAGGGGGGGGGGCUACCAUCCUAGACCUUUAGACGAGGGUCCAGGGGCCUCCCUGAAGCUCCUUGAGUCUAGAUCGUCAAAGACGCUUUCUGAGCGAUUUCCGGCUAAUAAAAUUACUCAGCAUUAAAGUUAAAUUUUAUUUCUUUUCUAAAUCCCCUACCAUGCAAAUACAGUCGAUGGUGGUUUCCUACAAUACUGAACUUGACAAAUAAAUGCAUAAUAAUACCAUGACUGUGGACACUCUAGACUGUAGAGGUCACAAUGUUUAUAACCGCAUAUAGGACCAUCACUUCCUAUAUAUACAUUUUUAGCUUGUGGACUCCCUAGAGCUCACAGGUUUUAUUUUAUUGAGUGCAAAUUUCGUGAAAAUCGGAUCCAAACUGCCCGACAAAUUAAUGGCCGCUAUCUUUAAAACCAUGUAAUACUAAUACCUAGGUUUUAAAACACGCAGAGGUUCGAAUUUUCAUCCAAUUUGAUAUAUCCCAAAGGUCUGAGUUUCUUUUGAUAUUGGCGCGUAUUGGACUCUAACUUUCUGGAUUAUGACCUCUGAUUGUACGAAAUAUCACGUAUUUAGCGUGUGGAGCCUCAAAACCGUUCAAAUAUCGUUGAGACCAAAUUUCGUGAAAAUCCGACCGAAACUUUCAGUCAAAUGGCGCCCCGCUUCACGCAAAUAAUAUAAGAACAUGUAAUGCCCAGGUUGUGGACCAUCUAGAGGUCACAAUUUUUAUCUGAUUUAGAUGACACUUAAACGAGUAUCACUAGUUCUUGGAUGAGUUCAAUUUUGGUGCGUAUUGCCCCCCUGUCUUGAAUGAAAUUUGUGGACCUUCCAGAAGCGACAUUUUUUUUCCGAUUCAUGAGAUUCAACUUAAACUAUGUGUUAAGGAUCAAAUUUCUUGGAUGAGUUCGACUUUAGUAUGCAUCAGACCUUACAUUCUAGAGGAGCUAUAGUCCAUGCUUUUUAUGAAUACAUUAUUGUUGUCCCAUUCUGAGGAAACUUAACAAAUAUGUUAAGGAUCAAAAGAUCUUGAAUGAGAGGAUAAGCCCUAUUAAUUUUAGCUCUUCCCAAUACAUUUCUUGCAAAAUAUGGGUGUAUCUUGCAUGGCAACCGCUUGUUUCAACUGGUCAUAACUGAUAGCAUUGAAUUAUUUGAUGGAUAAGGGACACAAGGACAGAGUAUGAGAAAAACUGUAUCCCGUUGUUUUUUUUUUUUAAUUACCUAACCUGUCAUAGAUACAACGGAAAUGAGAUUUGGUUGAAAUAAAGAUCGACUGUUUAUUAUAGUUAACUAAUAGUGACCCUCGCAACCCGGAGAUCAGUAUAGAACAUAGCAGGAUUUUGUUCUGAAAGUCUGACUUCUAUUUUAAAAUCUGGCGUCGUUGUAUUUAACCGCGUGCAAUAACUGUUGUCCAAUUUGGACUGUUCACGUAUUUCACCCAACUUAAUUGCUUAGAAAUUACAAUAAAUGUGUUUAAAAAUUCAAUAUAAAUUACUGUAUAUACAUUUAAUUAAAAUAAUAUAUGCUUUUAAACUCACUUUCGUCUAUUUUAAGGUUCGAAAGAAUAGUGUCGUACGCCCUUUAAACGUAGUAUUUUUUUAUUUUUCCAGACUUAAUAGGACUGUUUGACUAUAGCCGUAAAAAGGGACCGUACAAAAUUUCAGAAUCACCCAUCAAUGUCAUCUAUAGUCAUUACCCAUAAUAUUAUAGUCAGCGUGGGGGGAUUGCAUCCCACAUGAUUACACAAAACAAAACUACGGACAAGACACAUUACGCAGGGGGCUAGCGGUAAAGCAAUGCGAUGUUAAAACGUACUCACUCUAUUAGUUACUUUCGUAUUCGUUAUCAAAGAAUAUCUUGAUGUAAAAAUAUGAUGUUCGUCAUGUAGAAUCUAAAACGAAAUUGCCGUUCAGUUGGAAAAUUCCGAUUUACAUAAAGGGUCUGUAGCUCUUGAGCUUACUUUUAUCAUUUAUAAUAUUUUCACGUAUUUGUGGUUUAUGUAUGAGUCUGUCGCUAUAUGUGUAUUUUGUAUAUCAGUACAUAAACAUUUGCUACCAUUUAUAAUAAUUAUGUAAAAUUCUUAUAUGAUGCACGUCAUCAUUAAGUUUUGUGCAUGUUACUUGUGACUGAAUGUUCACUGCGGAAGAAUGUGGAAUAAUUACACUGUAAAUGCUGUUUAGACGUAAUAUUAUUGUUACUAAACAUGGAGACGAAUGUAUUUAUCGCCUAUUCAUUAAUACUAGGCCUGUUUAGGCACUAAAACAUGGCAUCUCCUUGUUCAAGUUUUCUCUUUCGGGGUUUUUAACAUUGUGAGAAAACAAGACAAAUACCCAAAGAGAUAUAAUUUUUAUUAGAACCAUUAGUGUACGACCUCAAAAAAUGACCCCAAAAAAGCUCGAGGCAACUUUUAACAAAUGGCUGUAUGAAAUAUGUUAUUAAAAUAUGAAAAACACGUUCUUUGUCGUUGGUUGAAUUUGAAGUUUUAAUCCUACAGAUAAGUGUCAAACUUGUAUUCAAUUGUUCUAAUAUGAAAACAUUAAUUAUUUAAUCAAGCGGAAUGGUCAUGUUAUUUUGCAUAAGGUUGGACGUGAAGCAACAAAUUGAAAUAGAGACACCGGGCCAUUUAUGUUGUCCCGCCGUCAAUCUAGCAUCACAUGAGAAUAAACAAAGUGACAAAACUUGACAUAAAAUAAAUCUCUUAAUAACGUAGCGUACUGAAAGCAAAUUGACCAUGUCCUGAUUUUUAAUCUAUGCUAUAUUCAUAUUAAAUCCAGUCUUCUGUGGUGGGUUGGUCAGUUUCAUUGAUAUUAUAAUUCAUACAGAAACGAAUAAUACAGAGUUGAUUUUGAAGAAGAGGGCUGUAGUUGUUUGCUGAGACUUUUGUGAUAUAUUUUGGUAUAUUUUUUAGAAAAUGCUAUGAUAGCUGAAAACAGCUGUUUCUUUUCGCCUCCUUCGUCCACUAACAAGGCCGAUAUAACAGACUUCCUUAAUAUACCGAAACAUAAAAUACACACACAUUGCCAUACUACAGUACUAACCAGCAAGCUACUGCACAUAACUAUAGUAAAGGACUCAAUUCUUGACUUGUUGGUUAUACAAUUUCGUUAUGUUAAAGGAAAAUAUAAUGAUAUGAUUAAAUUAACCUUUGUAAUUAAAAUUCACCUGCCGCUAGAUGAAUAUAUAAUAAUAUAAUAACUGAACAGAAACGACAUGUCGUUACCAAACGCCGACUUAUACAGCCUAGUAAAGUGGUUAAUAUUAGAGACUGCUAGAAAUUCACACUAUAUAUGCACAGAAUUCAUGACUGUCGCAUAUGCGUCCAUCUCAUAUUUCUGUCGCAUACACGGCUUUUUAAAACCGGAAGCCGAAGAUAAGAAAUUCACUUUGCGUUUUCUCUUUUUGGUUCAAAUAGGGUUUUGUCAAUUAGACGGAAGGCGAAGAUACAAAACAAACUUUGUGUCUUCGCAUUCGCCUUUUUAGAGGACUAAUACUUAUUAUGGCUAGAGUUACAUCUUUGACCAGUAUUGAACAACGGCUAAGGUGCGAUGACAUCACAGAAAGACCCGAAGAUAUGAAGCAAACGUUUCCUCGCAUCUUCCCCAUCAAUUGUUUCUCCAUGCUCAUUAAUUUCGCCGCGUUCCUUGCAUCUUCGCCUUCAACCUAUGCUACUGAAACGCGCGAAGACAAAGCUGCAAGAGACGAGAGAGCCGCGAUAGGUCAGUAAGGUCUCGGGUUCGCUUCCCGUGUUUUAGUUUCAAAAUAACUCAACGAACCUAACAACAUCGUAAACACUGUUGGUCGAUGAUUUUGUAAACAAAAAAUAAUCUUUUCAGAUUCGAAAAUAUUCAAUGCGCAAGAAAGAAAUAAUAUUAUACUCCCAGGUUAACCAUAGUAAAAAUAUGAACUAUCAUUCCAUUUUUAUGCAUUUUUAUAUUAUUCUAAUAUUUAAUAUUCAUAACUAAAACAUUAAAGAAUACAAUAAAAUAUGAAUAUGUUAUAAAACACACCGUUAAAAUGGGUUGAGUGGACCCUGUAGGAAUACUCCAAUCAGCCCACCGCGCCGUCAAAUGUUCAUGGGGAUAGCAAUAAUUGUUUCUUAUAUAAAAAAAUAAAAUGUGUACCGUGAAAUAUUUCUUUUAUGACGCAGGUGUGUGUAUUUGACUACAAUCAUCAAACGAUAAAUGCUUAAUAACUAUUAACGAAAUAAUCGCUAUAUAAGGAUCAGGUACUGCCUAUAAAAUCAGUUUGAAUAAUUUUACGAUAUUAAUACCACCCGUUAAUUCAUCGGGCAUUAUUCUACAAGUCGUUAGACCCUGAUUAAGUUGCAGAUCUUCGCUGGAGAGAAACACGUUGUCGCCCUUGCUGCAUAGCACUUCCACUACACUUCAAAUACACCAUAAAGUUUGCUCAUGCAUGUAAUGUCCAAUAACCCAUUGUACCUACCUAUAUGAUCACUGACCCGUACCUAAAUAAGUGCCAUGCCCAAUCUGAUUUUUAAUUUUUUCUCUCUAUAGAUUCUGGUCAUACGAUUAACAUAUCAUUCAUACUGAAUGACCGAAACUGCAUCCUAGCAUAAAAUUUACAUAAACCAAACAAAGAUCCUAAAUCCGCUAUCAUGAUUUUCUUUUGUUUGUUUGUCAUACCUAGCGCUACUCUGGUAAAACCACUGAUGUUAUUGUUGUCAUUUUUGUAUUAUUAUGUGACAAUUAUUCGUAUGAUAUCUUUUAAGAGAAAAUGGAAUAUGCAAAUUUUGUAUUUGGCUUUUGUAACUCUGUUAUUAUUGGUUUAUUUUGUUUCCAUUUUAGUCACGUCAUUAGUAAAUAGUUCAGUGGUUAUUAUGAAAUAUUUUAUUAAUUAAUGUGCCGUCGAUAUCAAAGAUGUAUUCAAAUUAUGGAAAUCAAGGUUCCGACUGAUGAAACUUACACGUGCACACCCUCACUGUGGAUAUACAAUACUCUGAUUUGUGUAUAGAUAAUACAUUAAAGUAAAUGUUUUAGAUUUGGUUCAAAUUAAAAUACACGCGGCUUCUUAUCAGUGUAAACUCACGCUCCAUUAGGCAGACUGAGGCUGCAUCAUGAAAUGAUAGAGGGUUAAAACGCCAGUCGGGUACAUGGAGACGGGCAUGCGCCAUGCAUUGUGAUAGAGGGAAUUUUGACUGGGUAGCGACGUAUCCGCCUCAGGGGCGUACAUGUCGAUUUUUUUUUUUUUGGGGGGGGGGGGUGUUUAGAAAAAUCAUACCACUGAUGCCCAUCCCCCUAAUACGGGUGACGCAGCCGCGGGCCGAGCACUAAAGGGGGUACGGAGGCAUACUUCCUCGGAGGAAGUUUUGAAUCUAUGGUCCCAGAAAUGCCAUUUCCUAGAUUUUGCAGAAUUCUGAUGGUCUGAAAACACUAACAUGAGUAAGAUUUUUGCAAGAACGUACAAAGUACUGUGAAUCUGAAACAAAUUAUAAAUGUGAUAAUUACAUAAUUUACAUGGACCUAUAUGUUCGAUAUAUUGUUGUGGUGAAUAUACAUAAAUUAGCAAAGAUAUGACUAUGUCCUCAUAUUUUCACCAAGCGUCCACGCUUAGUAAAGUUUGACCACCGAUCGGCGAUUUUGUCAAGAUCCAUCGUGUCCGUCAGGUAAAGCUCACUCAGUAGUUCACUGAGGAGUUCAUACAUAUAUUAAGUAUUUGGGAUUUUUCCCUUCUAUGUUCGAUCACGAUAUUGGUCGAGCAAGUGUUUGGUUUUCUCUUUCCAGGGGUGCAGGAUGGAGGCCUGAAAUGACACAAAAGCGUUUUUCGUUUAUAUAGGACGAAAAACCAAGGUCCUGUGUAUACGUUGACGGAUGGGAUUUGGAGAAGAGUAGGCAGAAACGUUGCUAUCUGGGCAAAAUUUGCUUCAUAGCACACUGCAUAGUGUAUUCCCGUCUUUAUUAGUCCGUUGGUUCAGAAAGGUAGAACGGUAAACCACAUUUCAUUUCUUGUCUCGACGCUAAUCUCUGGGUGAAAGAAGCAAACCACGGAGUGUGUUUACUCUGUGUGACCAAUCAUUGCUGCACUGUUCAUCUACAAGAUCUUGCACAUGCAUGGGUGACAAUAUUAUACCGUUAACGAAUAGUUAAGAUCGUAAGCCUUCUAACGUACGGUAUAGUUCAUAUUUCUAACGGUUCAUUAAUUACCAAUAUUUCAGCAGUUUUGAAGCUAGAUUGCUUGACUUUAGUAAUGAUUUCUUCUCCUGCAGAAUCUAUUGAAAACAGUUGUCGAGUGGUGUGGACUUAAAUCACAAACUAUAAUCACUUGUGUAAACUUUGACUGCAUCACCUGGGUUUAUGUUUGAAGACUUUAUUUGAUUAUUUCAGACCUAGGUUCACUCUCAUUAAAUUGUACGUCCUUUGCUCGCGUUAAAGAAAGGAUUCUACAAUAUAAAAGAAUCUAGAUCAUAUUGUAUUCAAUAGAGAUAAUACGAACAAAGAACAAUAUGGAAGAAAAGUUCCAUGUAGAUGUCUAACAGUGAUUUACUUCGCAUCAGAAAAAAUGGGAAAUAAAACGUGUUAAUAUAAAAUAGAUAGAAAACGUGUUAUAAUAAAAUUAUCGAAAUAAAAGGUAUAUUCUCCACGAAAGUAUUUAUCGGGUAAUUAUUUCCAAUAAAAGUAUUCUAUAUUUGAUGUAUGGAAAGUAAAAACAUAGAAAUGUAAAAAUAUAGAAAUAAAGUGUUUUAAUGUAAAAAAUGUGCCACCCACAAAAUUCGCCAUUGUACACUUAGUGUGCAUUUGGAAAUAAGAUUUAUUAACCAUAGUAGUUUGUUAGUAGCGCAAAUUUUGUGGGUGGCACAGGGAGUCGACGAAACGUUUGAGACAGUCUCCGGUAUAAUCCGUUUCUGCAUUUACGCCUUAAACAGAAGCCUUCUUUCUUUCUCCCUCAACUGAGUUGUAUUUAUAUUUAGUUCAACAUCAUAUUUUACCUUUAGCUCACUACUGAAAUUAGAGCAAAUCUGGGCAGUAAAUAUACAGUUUGAUUCACGACCCUUGGUUCGGAUAUAAUCUCGGACCACUAAAGAUUACCAUAAAUUGUUAAACGGUUGGUAACGGUGCAGUAUAACACUCUUUCUUGUACGUUACUUCCAGUUUGUGCAUCUCAAGAUUUCUAUGGUGAACCCCAUUCUUGUCUUUGAACAGGACUUUGCGUCAUAAUAGAAAGCUUUCAAACAAACAAACAUUUGAGAACAACUUAUGCUUUGGGCUAAGACACGAGAAUUAAUAUUCAAAUCAAUGAGAAAAAUUAAUCGUUUAUUAUCUGUGGCCUUAAAGAGAUCCAUAUAGGCACAGUCUAAUAUAAUGUGCAGUGAGCAGCAUUGUAACUAAGAAUCUCAAAAAUCUUCUGAAACUGUAAUCAAAGUUAACUGAAAGCCAUUAAAUACAUCGAAUAGGCCGAAAUUAAUUGCAUUGUUAACUUGCUCAUAGUAUGAAUAAUAAAAUCACUGUCAAUAAUUGGACACACCCAUUUACCUUGUUAUAAGUACAAAUCGCUAUCUUGGGGGAAAAACUACUAUCAACGCAUGCACGGCAUCACGUGUGUGCAGUUAAAGUCUCGUGUCCUGAGACGACCUCUUGCGACGAGAAGCGCGGUAAAAUGAGAGUUGCCAUCAGUGGAUGCAAUAUUAUCCAGCAUCUGGCUCUUUGAAUUCUCGGCGUUAGUCGAUUGUUAUCGUGGGCCACACGUCUAUCUAUAUAUAUAAACAAUAGCAGGCUAUCCUAUCGAUCAGCCACAGUGGGAUUAAACACUACGUUUCAAUCAAGACCAGUUUGUAGUCGUUGAUCGGUUCCUGCAAACGUGCUGCGUGCGACGGAACGGAAAUGUUGCACAUCUUCCACACGCGCUUGUCAAUCAUAGUAUGAGAGUUGUUAAACAGUGAUUAGUGGUUUUGGAUGAACGCACGUUUCCUGCAAAAAAUGCCAUGUAAUUAGUUUAUUUCACUGUCUAAAAUAUCAAUCGAGCUUAUUAGUAGCGAACUGGUGGGCGAUGUCCGUUGACAACUUUUUUCAUUGUAGGAUUUCAACUAUGAAAAAUGACGUGUCAAAAACAAAUGAUUAAUCAUUUUGUAAUUACCGGGGUUGUUUUCAAGAAAUACCCAUAAUUUGUCAACUGAUAAUUUUAUUUCUGGUGCCAAUUAAAAGUUGAUCUAUUUUGUAAAAAAAAUAGUGUAUAGAUUAACGAGAAAGUUCUUGGUUUAUUCUGUACAAAGUCUUUCUGUUCACUGAUGACUUUUGUAAUCACUGGCCAUGUAGAAAACAGCCACAUUCCUAAUAUUGAGAAAGCACAUUAAUGGAACCCAGAUUUUAUGGGAAUCCACCAGCGAUUGAUCCCCAUUAAGGAUCUCCGUCAUGUAAUUUCAAUUCGUUUUAUAUUCUGGCCUAAUACUAACCAACAAACAGUAAAACAUGAAAAAUGAAACUACAUAAUUCAAAAAAAAUAUUGAAGUACACAAGUUUAAAAAAUGAAAACAUGAAAUAUUGAACCGGGUGUACAUUAUUAGGAUUUCCCAUAGAAUCUCUUCAAUAGAGAAGUGAUGUCAGGUUUUUUAAAAUCAUGUAAACAUGCCCUGCCUUUAGCAUACCAUAGAAUAUAAGCUUCAAACGUAUAGGAAUAACUCUAUAAAGGGGAAGUGAUGUCACGUAUUCUAGAACAAACAUUUCCUGCCCCGCACACGACACUAAUUAUAGCGAAAUUUGGUAAAACGCCUAGGUGUCAAACGUCACCAGAGUCAACAAAAAAACAUAACAAAAAUGAAGGUCCAUGAACUCCUCAAAAUAAGUAUAUUCUAUCAGAAGCCGCGAAGGCUUGAUAGCCACUCAAAGACACCAGCAGUUCAAAGCCUAUGUCAACUCUUCAAACGCGUACGCGUUUCUUUUGAAUUUCGGAAUACACUUCGCGAUAAGGCCAACAACAGUGCCACAAGCCAAUUAGUUUAUUAAUACAUAAAUGUUUAUUUAAAAAACCUAUCUUUGUUGUUAUUGCGGGCGACGAUCUUCGAAAAAAGCUUAAGACCAUCAAUUCGUAAACGCUUGAAAUGAAACUUGACAUGAUUGUUCCUUAGACGAUUGAUGGACUUCGAUGGUUGAUAUGACGUCAACAUUCCAAGAUAUGCGAUGACGUCAUACUCCGUUCCUGUUCCAGGCGCGCUGGUAUUUGUUAAUUAACUCCUUCAGGGUCACUAAUGACGAAAAGCAAUAUAGAAAAUAGGCAGCAAUUGACAAAACGGAAUAGUAAAUGUGCAAGGAACGGAUGGUGGUUUAUUUGACAACACUCUUAUCUAUUAUUACAAACAGUCAGUCUACAGAUCUGUUGAAUUAUGUGUUGCGAACCAGUCGGCUUACCAUAAUACAAUUACUGCUUUUACUGAGUGAUUUCCACUGGGCUUCUCUAGUCUUUAUCUAGGGAACUCUUAGUCGGAACGUCGAUCGGUAAUAAACAGUAAUUAUAUUCCAUAGCAUUAUGUCUUGUGUAUUUCCAAAUCAAUUGCAAAUUGCCAUUGAUACAACCGUAACAAUCUGGAGUUAUAAUAAUUUACUUUAAUGAACCAAACAUCGACGUCUUUAUGUUUGUUUCUUCUACAAAAUAUUUUAGAAAAUAUAAAUACUUCAAUCUCUCGUUGGGAGCAUUAAAUUAUGUUUGGGAUUAUUAAUUAUAAUGGGCUUGAUAUUAAACAUUUAAUAUCUAACUUAUUUAUCGGCAAUUCAUAUUCCAUGCUUUAAAUUGUUAAUAAUGUUGAAACGAUAGAGAUGACGUUGAUGUCUUUUGUGUUCUGAAGUUGACAGGUUAAAAUACGUAGGGUGUCUGCGGACAUUAUGUUUUAUAUUUUCUACAUAGACUAUAUGACACUAGCUAUUGUCCUGGCAGGUGAUAAGGUCUUCAAUUUACUAUAUUAUUUCUGUAAACAAGAUUUUACAAGAUCCUUUGUCGCUAGCGGACAAGGUGUUGGUGCAUUCAUUUUACAGCCUCGGCUAAUCCCCACGUGCCAGUCUUAUGACAGGCGCGUGUAGGGCAGUGUAACAUUGAAAGACGGAGCAAGAAGUUGGAAUAAAACAUCUAUUUUCUCUUGUCAUUUCUCGUCAACCAAUGACAGGUCUAAUCCUAGAGCUGGAUUAAUUUCGAAUCAGGUUCGUUAACGUUACAACAAACUUGGAAAUCAAAACAAACUUUAGACAGAAAGAGAAGCAGGGAAGCGUCGAGGAACGUCGUUCGACUGGUCUAAUUAUCCGAGGAGUGCCGAAUUCUCCACUGGUGUGUUAAACAUUUGUAUUGUAACUGUAAGUCUGUAGAGUAAGGUAACAUAUCAUUUAUCAACCUCUCUUCGUUUGUCAUUUUACACAAGACUUUUCAGUAACACCAGCUCCGAUUACAAAAGCAAUUACAUCGGCAUAAGUCUAGUUAAUUAGGCCUAUCUUUUCCAUAUUUUCGAGAUUAAAGUCGACAUUGAAACACGAUCAAAUUGUACCAAAAAUGACAUAAGUUUUCAUGAGUUUGGUAUCGUGAAUUGUGUUAGUGACAAUAGAAUACCGGUCAAUGAACUAUAUCAAAUGUAACUCGAUUACCUGUUGACGUGAUGAGUAUUAGCAUUCGUCAGAUAAAUAUUUCACAAUUAUCAUGGAUAUUAACUAUAAUAAUAACAUUGUCGAAUAUUGUUAUAUAGAGUUUGUCAGAAUUCCAAAGUUGCCCCGUUUGAGUUGAUUGGCAUCAAGCACACAAGACUAUACGACUUAUAUAAAGUAAAUCCCAGAACUGCCUAUACUCAAGGGCAACAAAAAUACAUCAAUCCCAAUACUGUUCAUUCUAAAGAGCAAUCAAAAUACACCAAUCCCAGUAUUCUCUAUACUAAAGAGAAAUAAAAAAACACAAAUCCCAGUACUGUCCAUUCGAAUGAGCAAUAAAAAUACAUUAAUGCCAGUACUCCCCAUUCGAAAGGAUAAUCAAAAUACUAAAAGCGAAAUAGUGAAAUAUAAUUUAAGGUCUAAUAAUAUUCCCGUACACAACCAUUGUGCUUUAUGAGAAAGUGGCAUCAGGUGUUCCGGGAGUGGGAGGCAUGGCGGAAAAAAUAGUUUACGGAUUUCGUCAGUAUCUGGCAAGUGAUAUUGUCAGUAUCGGUGCUUGGAUAUAUGGAAUCAAUACAGUAACUAAAUUUGAUUAGCGAUAAGACAUCAUCUGCAUUUCUAAGAGUUAAGUACACGUUGAUGUUCAUUAAAUCUUUCUUUAAUAGUUUUUAUUUGCUUUACGCCCGUUCAAGACCAUUCAGCUGUUUAAUAACACCCACCGCGUAGUUUUACGUAAUUAAGGGCAGUUCGGAGAGGAAGUAUUUUCUAAAUGCUUCUCAUUUAACCAUGACAUAGAUUUUGAAGUAAUUUUCGCUAGACAGGAUGGAAUAGUAUGUAGAUAUACUAAGACGUAAUGAAAACGCGCCACUUUCAUAAAUGGAUGAUAGUAAAUCUCGUUUUAGAGAUACACUUUAAUCUUGUAAUUCUGAUUGUCAGCCCAUUAGAUUACAACGAUAACACGCGGGAAUUACGUUUUCACGAACGCAUAACUGCACCACAUAUAAAUUACGAAUUUAUGGUCCCAACACAUGAGGUAUAAAGUGUGGCUUUUAAAGAACUAGGGUCAGUACAACUCUUACAUCUCUGUGCAGGGUGCAUUGGUAUGCUUAGGUUGACACCUGAACAAAAGGGCAUAAGUAGCAGAUCUUUUGCCAGAAGGCUUGGGUGUCAUCACAAUUCCGUCGAGAGACUGGCAAGUCGUUUCCAAAUGACAGGGAUUACUAGGGCUCGAUCAAGGCCAUGACGGCAACGUGUGACAACACUUCGUCUCUUUAUCCAGCAACAUCAACAGGGUGCAAGCUUCCAUCACUUUUGCUACUAUGGCUGAUUUUCUUGUGUGGGUAAAUAUCCAGCCCACAAUCAUACCAAAAGUCACAUUUUAGCUGCAAUAUGUCUCGUCAGUCAAUUCAGUGGUGCGUUUUUAUUUCGUCUUAGUGGUCUAUAAUGUAAUUAAUCAAACAAAUUUCAUUCAUAAGCUGUUAAUAUAGAUAUCUUCAUUAAAAUUAACAAAUAAAUUUAAGCUAUAUUUGACACAAAUCAUAUGCCUAUACAGCUUCGUCUGUUAAUAUUUAACAGCCGCUUCCGUAGAAAAUAAAAUGAAUAACCUGAUUUGACUUAUUUUUCGUACCCCUCCCUUUUUUAAAUUAUAUAUAAAACCGAAUUUAAAAGCAAAUUUAAAUAAGAAAGGAAUAUAUUAUUCAUAGUUGUCUUGAAAUAUCAGCGAUAUAACUGAUGGAAAACUAGUUCAUAUAUCAACUGAUAAAUGCAUAUUAUAUUGUUAUUGCUACAGUAUUAGAUUUCACCCCAAAACAUGACAAAGUAGGAAUAAGGUUGUUUCUAACUUGCUUAACUGCAGGUCCGGGUUCGACCCCGGUGUUGGCUGACAAAGUUUCUCGGGAUAUUCUGGCGUUGUUUCCCCUUGUCAGUGUUGCAGUGCCAAGGGCCCGACGAGGAAAGGCGUCUCUACGGUCGCCAAGAUGUGAUCAAAAACUGAGGUCCCGUGUACACUUUGGCGUGCACGUUAAAGGACCAUAUAGACAGUUGCAAUUCGAAACAAGAGUAGACUGUAGCGUAGCUUCCCGGUACUCCCACCCCAACCCCCCGACGGAACACUGCAUGGCGUAUGUCAGGCUUCAUUAGCUUAGAUAGAGUCGAAAAGUAGGACCUCAAACCAAAUUUCUGUAUCUGGAAUCAUGUUGAUGUGAUGAGUACUAGCACCCGUCAGAUAAAUAUUUCACAAUAAUAACAUUGUCGAUUAUUGUAAAUAUUUCACAAUAAUAACAUUGUCGAUUAUUGUUAUAUAGAGUUUAUCAGAAUUCCAAAGUAACCCUGUGUGAGUUGAUUGGUAUCAAGCAUACAAGACUACACGACUUACAUAAAUGCCUGGACUGCUCAUUCUAAAGGGCAACAAAAAUACAUAAAUCUCAAUAUUGUCCAUUCGAAAGGGUAAUCCAAAUACUAAAAGCGAAAUAGUGAAAUAUAAUUUCAGGUCUAAUAAUAUUCCCGUACACACCCAUUGGGCUUUAUGACAAAGUGGCAUCAGAUGUUCCGGGAGUGUAAGGCAUGGCGGAAAACAUAGUUUACGAAUUUCGUCAAUAUCUGGCAAGUGAUAUUGGCAGUAUCGGUGCUUGGAUAUAUGGAAUCAAUACAGUAACUAAAUUUAAUUAGCGAUUAGACAUCAUCUGAAUUUCUAAGAGUUAAAUAAACGUUGAUGUUCAUUAAAUCUUUCUUGAAUUCUUUUUAUUUGCUUUACGCCCGUUCAAGACUAUUAAGCUGUUUAAUACCCCCCUCCGUGUAGUUUUACGUAAUUAAGGGCAGUUCGGAGAGGAAGUAUUUUCUAAAUGCUUCUCAUUUAACCAUGACAUAGAUUUUGAAGUAAUUUUCGCUAGACAGGAUAUAAUAGUAUGUAGAUAUUCUAAGACGCAAUGAAAACGCACCACUUUCAUAAAUGGAUGAUGGUAGAUCUUGAUUUAGUGAUACACUUUAAUCUUGUAAUUCUGAUUGUAAGCCCACUAGAUUACAACGUUAACACGCGGGAAUGGCGUUUUCACGAACGCAUAACUGCCCCACAUAUAAAUUACGAAUUUAUGGUGCCAACAUGAGGUAUAAAGUGUGGCUUUUAAAGAACUAGGGUCAGUACAAAUCCUACAAUUCCGUGCAGGUCGCAUUGAUAUGCUAAGGUUGACACCUGAACAAGAGGGCAUGAGUAGCAGACCUUUUGCAUGAAGGCUUAGAUGUAAGGCUAUCAAUAUAGAUCUCUUCAUUGAAAUUAACAAAUAAAUUUAAUGACACAAAUUAUAUGCCUAUACAGCUUCGUCUGUUAAUAUUUAACAGCCGCCUUCGUAGAUUAUAAAAUGAAUAACCUGAUUUGACUUAUUUUUCGUACCCCUCCCUUUUUUUAAAUUAUAUAAAACCGAAUUUAAAAGCAAAUUUAAAUAAGACCGGAAUAUUUUAUUCAUAUUUGUCUUGAAAUAUUAGCGAUAUAACUGAUGGAAAACUAGUUCAAAUGCACAUUAUAUUUUUACUGCCACAGUAUUAGAAUUCACCCCAAAACAUGACAAAGUAGGAAGAAGGUUUUUUUUCUAACUGGCUUAACAGCAGGUCCGGGUUCGACCCCGGUGUUGACCGAGAAGGUUGCUCGGGAUAUUCCGGCGUUCUUUCCCCUUGUUGGCGUUGCUGUGCCAAGGACCUGCCGAAGAAUGACGUCUCCAUGGUCGCCCAGAUGUGAUCAAAAACCGAGGUGCCGUGUGCACUUUCGUGUGCACGUUAAAGACCAUCGUCAGUUGGAAUUCUAAACAAGUGUAGGCCGCAGCGUCGCUGUCUCGGUACCCCCCCCCCCCCCAAACCCUCCGAUGACACCCUGAAUGGCGUAUGCCAGGCUUCAAUUAAGCUUAGAUAGAGCAGAAAAGUAGGACCUCAAAUCAAAUGUCUUUUCUGUAUCUGGAAUUUCUAAAAAUAUGUUAAUGUGAUGAGUACUAGCACUCGUCAGAUAAAUAUUGCACAAUAACACAUUGUCGAUUAUUGUUAAAUAGAGUUUAUCAAAAUUCCAAAGUUACUCUGUUUUUGAUUGGCAUCAAACACACAAGACUAUACUACUUAAAUAAAGUAAAUCCCAGGACUGUCCAUUGUAAAGGGCAACAAAAAAAUAUUGUCCAUUCUAAAGAACGCAAUCAUUCCCAGGAUUCACAACACCAAAGAGCAAUCAAAAUACACCAAUCCGAUUAAUCUAUAUACUAAAGAGAAAUCAAAAUACACAAAACUCAGUACUGUCCAUUCGAAUGAGCAAUCAAAAUACAUUAAUUCCGGUACUCUCCAUUCGAAAGGGUAAUCAAAAUACAUUUAUCUCAGUACUGUCCAUUCUAAAGGACAAUCAAAAUACAUCAAUCCAGGUACUCCCCAUUCGAAAGGGUAAUCCAAAUACUAAAAGCGAAAUAGCGAAAUAUAAUUUAAGGUCUAAUAAUAUUCCCGUACACACCCAUUGUGCUUUAUGAGAAAGUGGCAUUGGAUGUUCCGGGAGUGGGAGGCAUGGCGGUAAACAUAGUUUACGGAUUUCGUCAAUAUUUGGCAAGUGACGUUGUCAGUAUUGGUGCUUGGAUAUAUGAAUUCAAUACAGUAACUAAAUUUGAUUACCGAUAAGACUUCAUCUGAAUUUCUAAGAGUUAAAUAAACGUUGAGGAAUAUUAAAUUUUUCUUUAAUUCUUUUUAUUAACUUUACGCCCGCUCAAGACCAUUCAGCUGUUUAAUAACACGCACCGUGUAGUUUUACGUAAUUAAGGGCAGUUCGGAGAGGAAGUAUUUUCUAAAUGCUUCUCAUUUAACCAUGAUGUAGAUUUUGAAGUAAUUUCCGCUAGACAGGAUGUAAUAGUGUGCAGAUAUACUGACGCAAUGUAAACGCACCACUUUCAUAAAUGGAUGACGGUAAAUCCCGUUUUAGAGAUACACUUUAAUCUUGUAAUUCUGAUUGUAAACCCAUUAGAUUACAACGAUAACACGCGGGAAUGACGUUUUCACGAACGCAUAACUGCACCACAUAUAAAUUACGAACUUAUGGUGCCAACAUGAGGUAUAAAGUGUGGCUUUUAAAGAACUAGGGUCAGUACAAAUCCUACACUUCUGUGCAUGGUUGACAUCAAAACAAGAGGGCAUGAGUAGCAGACCUUUUGCCUGAAGGUUUAAUGUCAUCACAAUUCCGUUCCGAUACUGGCAAAUAUUUUCCAAAUGACCGUGAUUACUAGGGAAGUAGGGCUCGACCAAGCCAUGACGGCAACGUGUGACAACACCUCGUCACUUUAUCUAGCAACAUCGACAGGGUGCAAGCUUCCCUCACUUUUGCUACUAUUGUUGAUUUUCUUGUGUGGGUAAAUAUCCAGCCCACAAUCAUACCAAAAGUCACAUUUCAGCUGCAAUAUGUCUCGUCAGUCAAUUCAGUGGUUCAUUUUUAUUUCGUCUUAGUGGUCUAUAAUGUAAUAUUAAUCAAACAAAUUUCAUUCACAGGCUAUCAAUAUAGAUAUCUUCAUUAAAAUUAACAAAUAAAUUUAAGCUAAAUUUGACGCCGCUUCCAUAGAAAAUAAAAUGAAUAACCUGAUUUGACUUAUUUUUCGUUCCCCUCCCUUUUUUAUAUUAUAUAUAAAACCGAAUUUAAAAGCAAAUUUAAAUAAGAACGGAAUAUAUUAUAUUCAUAGUUGUCUUGAAAAAUCAGCGAUAUAACUGAUGGAAAACUAGUUCAUAUAUCAACUGAUAAAUGCAUAUUAUAUUGUUAUUGCUACAGUAUUAGAUUUCACCCCAAAACAUGACAAAGUAGGAAGAAGGUUGUUUCUAACUUGCUUACCUGCAUGUCCGGGUUCGAUCCCGGUGUUGGUCGAGAAAGUUGGCUCGGGAUAUUCCGGCGUUGUUUCCCGCUUGUCAGUGUUACGGUGCCAAGGCCCCGACGAGGAACGGUGUCUGUAUCUGAAACCUCUUAAUAAAUAUAUAAAUAGACAUGUAUAUGGUUGUAGACUGUUCUAGGGCUGGCAUUCCUGAUAAAAUGCCUUAAAAUGAUGAAAAUGCGAUUUUACGGGUUCCUGGUAACAAUUCGACAAGAUUGUUUCUGCGCAUGUCUGUGAAAUGAUAUACUUCCUUCUAAUAAUGGUUUUAAAAUAAUGGAUUUAUCUGAAAUUUGAAUAAACAUUACCCGUGAUUUUCUCAAAACACUUUGACGGAACUUUGAUAUUGAAUUAAUUUACAAAAUUAAGGAACUACCAAUAAACGCACAUUUUGUGUGAGAGGUUAUUAAAUAGGAUUAUUUUUCAAUUGUUCGGCUAAUCACAGGGGAAGAACCAGUCACCUUCUAGAUCGAAUAUUAGAGUACUUUUGUUCUUGUCAUCGUUUAGGCUCAUAAGUUUUGAAUACUUCGACAUGAUUCGAGAAGAUAUGUCAGUGAUCAUUCGCCUGGCAAAUAAAAUAGGGCCAAGGACCUUCAUCGCCCAGCGGUAAGGAAUAUAUGUACAUUUAAGAUAACUCCAAUAUUGUUAACGAGGAUUCGUAACUCAAAGGGAGUAACUCCGGCAGUAAUUCUAAAAGAUCCCUCUUAUUCAACACCAAUCUUCCUAUUAAUCAACUGGACAUUCUUUUAAAGUACUAUAGAUGAAGAACAGAAUAUUUGUCUGGCAUUACGAAAAUGUCUAUCUCCCACAUUGUUACUAACCAUGAGCCACACCAAACCUUUUAUUCGAUAAUUACCUCGGACCUCUCCACACCGAACUACUUUGGGGAUGGUCGCAGGUAAUAAGAGUAGUAUGUAUAUGUGUUAUUUACACUCGUACAAAUGAAGAUACCAAAAGGGUUAGUUGCUUCCUAUUCGGAUUUGUUCAAAUAUACAGUCACUUAACCAAAACGUGCAUUUUACUGAAGUUGGUAGGUAUGUUAUUUCUGUAUUGGUGGUUCUUAAUCAGAGUUGUUCACAUGAUGUGGUGGUUCUUCCUCAGAGUUGUUCACAUGACGUCUAUCCAUCUUGAAAUGGACAAAUUGAUAAGCUUCUUCAUUAUUCAGAAUAUUAAACUACACCAAAUUAAAAUCUAGAAAGAUAUUGUCGGACAAACUAUUUCUGUUGGUACAAAUAUACCGUAGUACAAUCCUGUUCGCCACACUUUGUUAAAAACCGUCCAGACACUAAACGCAAAUACAACGAAGAAGAUGUUGUAAAAAUGUUAGAAUUCCUGGGUAUUUUAGAGGAUAUAUCUUUUCUAUGUAAAUGUUAAUAAAUCUCAAUAGAUCUCCAUUUCUUUCAGAUUUAUUUCUGUAUGUUAACGUGUCCGAUUAUAUGCACUGCUUCGUAAAAGGAAUAAAAAGCUUACCAAAUCAUCCGAUUUCACUCGCAAAUAUACAAAGUGUGUCUUACCGGUAAACACGUUUUUGGGUUAGUGAUUUCAGUGAUCACUGAGGAGUUAGCGAUGAAGUAAGAUUCCAGUAAUAACUACUCGGUGUUCUACUUGGACUUACAUCGGCUGAUCAAGAUUGGCCGAAAUCAUAAACUAAGUGAUUAAUUCUCAGAUAAAUGUGAUUUUAAUUUCACCAUCGUAAACAUUUUCGUAAUGUAUAGUAACACACUGCAGUCCCCAGCCUGUGGUGUUCAUAUUUCUAAGGCAAGUUUAUUUACCCAAUUGACUUAAGCCUAGGACGGGACACAGCAUAUGUACAAUGAAAACUAACCAGGUUUCUAAUUUUACUUUAUAACUUCAGUAUACAUUUUGUGAUGGUUUACUUAUUGGGAGUCUGAUAUAUCCACUAUCUAGCAAAUGUUUAAAAUGAUUAAAUGAACUUGAGCUUAUUGCAGGGACAAACAUAUUUUAAUAAAAUAAUUUUUGUUUGAAAUUCUUUAAGGUUCCUGAAAACUAAUCUGACAAAAACUAUACAUACGCAUAGAAAGAUAGUUUCUUGAUCUGUUAUCCAAUAUAAAGUAUUUCUUUCAUAAUGUGGAGUGUGCUUUUUGUGUAAUUGUACUGAUCUGAAAGUAAAAUCACAGAUUUAAUGACCCGUUACUAACAAGUAUAAUUUAUAAAUUGGUACCGAAGUACGCUUACGUUAGCUUGCGGGGUUAAUUUGUCGCGAAAAUUUAGAGAAAACAUAACUGUCCAGAAAAAAAUCAUAACAAUGAAAGCACGUGUUAACGAUAUGGUCAAAUAUAAUUUAAUGUACGCCUUUAUGUUUGACAGGACUGGCAUCUGCCUAUAAUAAUAGACCAGUGUUGCAGCAUCGUUACAAAAACACCACCUUAGUCGACCAGUUCACGACGUGACCAUACUUCACCCGAAGGCCAUUUUGUGGACUCGCAUUCUCACUCCCCUAAAAACGACACCAUGAAUAAAGAAAAGAAAAUUAUUGUUUCUUUCGAAAAUUAUGUUAACUUAAGUCUCUGUAUAGACUGUUUACUUUCUUUGACAGUGUCUGGUAUUGGUACUAUACCCCACCUUAAUUGCACCUCCAUUAUUGCAGUAUUGUCAACAUACUGCUUGUAAUUUGUGCAUUGAUACCCACAUUUCUUAAGAUGUUAUUAUUAGACUAAUAUUGAACAAUACUUUGUAAGGGUUCUGUUCACACUGCACAGUCAGUACAAAUAAUUACUGUGUAGCUCCGCAGGGUAUUUUAUUUUAGUCCUAUAUUUUUUUCUGAUUUCUAAAAGACACAUUCAAAAUAAGGAUAAUGGUAUUUUCCCCCCAGUGGCAUUAACUGUUUGGGAUAAAUGCUAUCUGGUAAAAUUUCUUUGAAAAUCCAAAGUAAAUACAUUUUCGUUGUUGAUAUGGUAUUAAUUGUUUAAUUGUUGUCGGUUUCCAACGAUAUAAAGUGCAGAAAUUGGGAUAUAGAAACUUCUAAAAUGUCUUCAUAUCAGACAUUAAUUAAAUUGUAGUCUGUGUACAAUGAGGUUCGGGUACUUUAGAUACAAAGGUUACCACUGCAUUCAAUUUUCAAUUUGUUAAACUGUAAUUUUGGCCAAUUAACAAAAACAUCAUGACCUGUACAUCCAUGAGAAAUUAUUUAAAAUUUCUAAUGGUGUUUAGGCUGCUGCAUCCUUAGGUCUAUCUUCAUGACUAUUCAGAUGAUUGUUUUUGCUUACUUGUGACACUAGCAAUUAACCACAUUCUAAAAUACAAUACAAUUUAUUAUAUGAUGUCAUAUUCGCAAGCAGGUGGGGUUGUACAUGAGGUGGAAUAUAUGGAUACAUUUUCAAGAACGCCUUGUACCACGCCUCAAUUAUUUGAGAAGCUAUGCUAAACCUUUUUCUCUUUAAAAUUGGAAAUAUCCUGUUUUCUACAUGGUAUGUGUAUCUAUAUAACUAAACCAUUUACAUCAAUAGCGGAAUGGGAGACGAUUAAAAAGUAUGUGUGCCCCUCCUACAUAAUAGACCUUUAACAAAAAGGUCUGAAUGUGAGACCGUUACAGAAUUAUGUGAUCCUCCUACAUAAAUUGUACUUUAACAAAAAGGGCUGAAUUUGAGAUCGUUACAGAAUAUGUGUGCUCCGCCUACAUAAACUGAACUUUAAUAUAAAGGGCUGAUUGUGGGUUCGUUAUAGAAUAUUAAUUGUGCUCCUAUAUAAAUUGAACUUUAACAUAAAGGGCUAGGUGUGAGAUCGUUACAGAAUAUGUGCUCCUUCUACAUACAUUGAUUUUUACCAUGAAGUGCUGGGUGUAAGAUAGUUACAUAAUAUGUGUGUUCCUCCUACAUAAAAGGCUGGGUGUGAUCACAUCCUACAUAAAUUUAACUUUAACAUAAAGGCUAAAUAAGAGAUCGUUAGAAAUAAUGUGUUCUCCUAUAGAAAUUGAACUUUAUCAUGAAAGACUGGGUGUAAGAUAGUCCAAGACUCUUUGUGCCCAACCAACAUAAAUUGAAUGUGAGACAAUUACAGGGUGUUUUUGGUAAAAACAACAAAAAUGCCAAGUCUCUGAUAGCGUACUUUUCGGUUUGUCUCAAAUGCUUUGAAUUAAUCUAGAAAAGUUAAGAGAUGUUUGGUCAGUUUGGGAAGUUUGAAAACUUCUUAAACCACAAUAUUGCGCAAGUUAGUUUUCUAUAGGAAAUGUCUGUUCCUUAUAGUAUUUUGAAACAUUUGGCAUCAUCUGCGGUGUGCAGGAUAUAAACAAGCCAAAGUCACCUAUAAGUAUUUUGUAAAAUCUUUCAAUUGUCUUCCUUUUAAUCCGACAAUCUACCUUUGAUAUUUUAGUUUGGGUUUCUUACUUAAAUGUUAAAUAAACUUUAUGAGCACAUUUUGGCGUGGUUUAAGCCUUGAAAAUAUAGACAUUGUGCAAUGCAAAUGACUAUCAGGGGCUCAAAAACACAAAUGAUCAACAUCGGUAAAAUAUGUUGAUUUUGGCCUGCUGGAAUGGAGGACUGACCUAUCGAAGGGCCUAUGUAGUGGACCAUAGAUUUAAGAUGGUAACGACUGCUAUUCUGCUUGUCUGCGAUAUUAUUUCAUUAAAUAAAGCUAUUUCACGCACAUGUCACGCAGUGCGUUUUGACAUUUUAAAAAGUCAAUUUUACACAAUAUUAUUAUAUUAAUAUGUUUUUUAAAUAAAUGUAUUUAAUACCCUC